GGCAGUGUUGCCUAAUACACAGGGCACCUGACUGGAACUCAGGCGGCCUGGUUCUAUUUCUGCUCUGCCA
Molecule: transfer RNA, 70 nt
Filed under: Chelonia mydas (Green sea turtle)
Lineage: Eukaryota; Metazoa; Chordata; Testudines; Cheloniidae
Rfam family: tRNA
About the family: Transfer RNA (tRNA) molecules are approximately 80 nucleotides in length. Their secondary structure includes four short double-helical elements and three loops (D, anti-codon, and T loops). Further hydrogen bonds mediate the characteristic L-shaped molecular structure. tRNAs have two regions of fundamental functional importance: the anti-codon, which is responsible for specific mRNA codon recognition, and the 3' end, to which the tRNAs corresponding amino acid is attached (by aminoacyl-tRNA synthetases). tRNAs cope with the degeneracy of the genetic code in two manners: having more than one tRNA (with a specific anti-codon) for a particular amino acid; and 'wobble' base-pairing, i.e. permitting non-standard base-pairing at the 3rd anti-codon position.
Source: Rfam by way of RNAcentral